Molecule: ribosomal RNA, 497 nt
Filed under: uncultured bacterium
Lineage: Bacteria
Description: partial 16S ribosomal RNA
Rfam family: Bacterial small subunit ribosomal RNA
Source: RNAcentral
GAUGAACGCUGGCGGCGUGCCUAAUACAUGCAAGUCGAGCGAACAGACGAGGAGCUUGCUCCUCUGACGUUAGCGGCGGACGGGUGAGUAACACGUGGAUAACCUACCUAUAAGACUGGGAUAACUUCGGGAAACCGGAGCUAAUACCGGAUAAUAUAUUGAACCGCAUGGUUCAAUAGUGAAAGACGGUUUUGCUGUCACUUAUAGAUGGAUCCGCGCCGCAUUAGCUAGUUGGUAAGGUAACGGCUUACCAAGGCAACGAUGCGUAGCCGACGUGAGAGGGUGAUCGGCCACACUGGAACGGGGACACGGUCCAGACUACUACGGGAAGCAGCAGUAGGGAAUCUUCCGCAAUGGGCGAAAGCCUGACGGAGCAACGCCGCGUGAGUGAUGAAGGUCUUCGGAUCGUAAAACUCUGUUAUUAGGGAAGAACAAAUGUGUAAGUAACUAUGCACGUCUUGACGGUACCUAAUCAGAAAGCCACGGCUAACUACGUG